Long non-coding RNA from Rosa chinensis, 431 nucleotides. RefSeq lists it as uncharacterized. NCBI's taxonomy places the organism in Eukaryota, Viridiplantae, Streptophyta, Magnoliopsida, Rosales, Rosaceae. The record is from RefSeq and is a predicted model, not a curated record. The transcript is spliced from 2 exons.
UUUCUUUCCUAUAUAUUUUCACUUGCAUGGAACACCGUUUAUUUUGCCGAAGCAAUAAUGCUUCUUGCUAGGUUUUCUGCAAGGGAAAACAAACAAACAUUAUAUGGGAUCAUGGAAACCUUUGAGGAUGUUUCCUCGCCUAUAUUUUCAGAGAAUGCAUGCAACAUGUCUGCUGACUGCUGAGCAUUGAGCAUGACUAUAUGGCAUACUCACCUUUAGCUCCUCCAACUCAUGGUACUCAAGCUUUUUAAGCAGACUUUUAUGGAGUGUCCAGACCCAGGAAAUCUGGGAUUUAGCUGUAAAGGCCAAGUCUUUCUUUGUCAAAAUUUCUUGUUUUAAGCCUGUUUCAGGCCUCCUCCAUGUAACCAAAAAAGAAUAAAAAAUUAAAAAAUUGUAUGCAGGAAACUAAAAGACUUUUACUGGCUGGUGUA